UGGGGAAUAUUGCACAAUGGGCGCAAGCCUGAUGCAGCAACGCCGCGUGAGGGAUGACGGCCUUCGGGUUGUAAACCUCUUUUAGCAGGGAAGAAGCGAAAGUGACGGUACCUGCAGAAAAAGCACCGGCUAACUACGUGCCAGCAGCCGCGGUAAUACGUAGGGUGCAAGCGUUGUCCGGAAUUAUUGGGCGUAAAGAGCUCGUAGGCGGCCUGUCGCGUCUGCUGUGAAAUCCCGAGGCUCAACCUCGGGCCUGCAGUGGGGUACGGGCAGACUAGAGUGCGGUAGGGGAGAAUGGAACUCCUGGUGUAGCGGUGGAAUGCGCAGAUAUCAGGAAGAACACCGAUGGCGAAGGCAGUUCUCUGGGCCGUAACUGACGCUGAGGAGCGAAAGCGUGGGGAGCGAACAGGAUUAGAUACCCUGGUAGUCCACGCCGUAAACGUUGGGCGCUAGAUGUGGGGACCAUUCCACGGUUUCCGUGUCGCAGCUAACGCAUUAAGCGCCCGCCUGGGGAGUACGGCCGCAAGGCUAAAA
Molecule: ribosomal RNA, 534 nt
Filed under: uncultured bacterium
Lineage: Bacteria
Description: partial 16S ribosomal RNA
Rfam family: Bacterial small subunit ribosomal RNA
Source: RNAcentral